Molecule: small nucleolar RNA, 124 nt
Organism: Pipistrellus kuhlii (Kuhl's pipistrelle)
Lineage: Eukaryota; Metazoa; Chordata; Mammalia; Chiroptera; Vespertilionidae
Product: small nucleolar RNA SNORA11
Exons: 1
Source: RefSeq, a predicted model, not a curated record
UGGGUGUGAAGAGAGCAGAGCGCCUGAAGAAUGGCUCCUCUGUGAAUAACACAUCCAACAGCAACUCGGGCUUAUUCUGAACAAGGGGCAGGAUGCUAGGACUUUCUGUGACAGCCCUACACAU